This 69-nucleotide transfer RNA is filed under the name Schistosoma spindalis. RNAcentral's name for it is "Schistosoma spindale tRNA-Glu". Lineage: Eukaryota; Metazoa; Platyhelminthes; Trematoda; Strigeidida; Schistosomatidae. The record is from RNAcentral.
UCUAAUCUAGUGUAUUUUGCAUUUGGAUUUUUCGUAUCUAAGGAGUUACAAUAUUUGUAACGAUUAGUG